Long non-coding RNA from Panonychus citri (citrus red mite), 1321 nucleotides. RefSeq lists it as uncharacterized. The transcript has 4 exons. Lineage: Eukaryota; Metazoa; Arthropoda; Arachnida; Trombidiformes; Tetranychidae. The record is from RefSeq and is a predicted model, not a curated record.
UUCAAUCAAGAGAAAAUCUUGUCAACACAAUUUCGCAAUUUUCCAAUUACUUAAUUGGAUUAAAUUUAGUUUAGUUCUUUCCCAAACAAUUUAAUAUUCGCAAUUCUAUAAGAAUAUAUAACCAAUGUGAAGCUCUCUAGAUCUGUUUUCUUCUACAGGUUCUAUUAGAAGAUUUUAGAUUUUGAUUACCUUUUCUAUUUGAUAAGUUAAUACGUGGAAUUUGUUAAUCACUGGACAUGAGUGAUUAUCUAUUCAAGCCUGAAAGUGACCAAGGAUGAAUUGUGAUCAAUUUCACUUUUCCAAGUCUUGAUACUUGACUUGUUUUCUAUAUGAUGACUUGGCUUAAAAAGUCAAGUUUUGCUUGUUUGAUUUUCGGCUGAUUUUCCAAUUUAGAUUUUUUUUUCCUUCUUGGCUUUUGGUCCAUUCUAAUUGUUGGUGAUAAACAACAAUAAUAAGAGACAAUUCAAACGAUUAACGAGAGGCCAAUUUAAAGGAGCAAUUAAUGUAUUAAGGAUUUUGUGGAUUAUAUGAAUUGGAAAUUUUCCUGAUUGUCUCAAGUGUAAUACUUUUCUGUUUCUUUGGUGGGUGUAUUAAGGAUGGACUCUUUGUGAAUGACUCUUUUUCCGUUUUUCGAUGUGGGUGUUUAGCGAAAAUUAUUUCACUUACAAUUAAACACAACUAAAGAUUUGUUGGUUCUAAAUUACUGGUUACCAGUUCUUAAUUAAGAUCGUACAAGAUGGAAACUACUCGACGACGAUAAAUCUAAAAUUCUGUUUUAAUCAUUUGUGGCUGUAUAAAGAAAUCAAGAUAAAACUGAUCUGAAGAGAAUCACAUCCAACCCGAUUAAAGAGUAACCUCUUGUUGACAUGAUAGAAAAAGAGAAUCUAAAAGUUUCAAUGGAUUGGUCAGUCUUCUUAUCAUAUUAAUCGUCUAAAUCAUCAUCAAUGUCCUUCCAAUUGUCCGUACCUUUUACUCAACCGUGGAAAUUGUUUGAGAAAAACAAUUUGGAUGUACAUUUUUGGGUGGAAUUGGUUGGUAACCAGUCCUAUUAUUAUCAUUUCUUUCAAUUCCAUUAUCGUAACCAUCGAUCAUUCAAAUAAUAUAUGAACUUAAGUCUCAAUUUACAAUAGAUCCUUCAGCUGAUAAUGAUUGAGAUUGAGUUGAGACAGAAAAGAAAGAGAAACAAAAAUGAAACCUCUUCUCAGAUUUCAUGAUUACACUUUGGAUAAAAAUCGUAACAACGGAUGGAUAACUGGAAAGAACAACAAUUUAAAAAAAAUAAGGAUAAACAGGAAAAUCAUCAUCAUCAUCAUCAUCAUCA